Molecule: long non-coding RNA, 403 nt
Filed under: Dermacentor andersoni
Lineage: Eukaryota; Metazoa; Arthropoda; Arachnida; Ixodida; Ixodidae
Description: uncharacterized LOC126538779
Source: RNAcentral
AGGCUGGUCUUUCGUAUGAAGCUCUGAAGGCAUGAAGGACAAUGAAAUGGCUUCUCGCCUGUGUGGGUACGCAGGUGCUCUUUCAGGUGGGCCUUUAGUGAGAAGCUCCGAAGGCAUGAAGGGCACUGAAAUGGCUUCUCACCUGUGUGGGUGCGCAGGUGUUGAUUCAGGUGUCCCUUUCGCGUGAAACUCCGAAAGCAUGAAGUGCACUGAUAUGGCUUCUCGCCUGUGUGGGUGCGCAGGUGUUCGUUCAGGUAGCUCUUUCGCGUGAAACUCCGAAAGCAUGAAGUGCACUGAUAUGGCUUCUCGCCUGUGUGGGUGCGCAGGUGUUCGUUCAGGUGGUUCUUUCGCGAGUAACUCUGAAAGCAUGAAGGGCACUGAUAUGGCUUCUCGUCUGUGUGGG